UACAGAGGUCUCGAGCGUUAGGCGGAAUCACUGGGCUUAAAGCGUGUGUAGGUGGAUGCCUAAGUACCUUGUGAAAUCCCACGGCUUAACCGUGGAACUGCUUGGUAUACUGGGUGUCUUGAGUCACUCAGGGGCGAGCGGAACAAAUGGUGGAGCGGUGAAAUGCGUAGAUAUCAUUUGGAACGCCAAUGGUGAAAACAGCUCGCUGGGGGUGUACUGACACUGAGGCACGAAAGCGUGGGGAGCGAACGGG
This 253-nucleotide ribosomal RNA is filed under the name uncultured bacterium. RNAcentral's name for it is "partial 16S ribosomal RNA". It matches the Rfam family "Bacterial small subunit ribosomal RNA", at positions 524 to 776 of the family's 1533-position model. The record is from RNAcentral.